Long non-coding RNA from Dermochelys coriacea (leatherback sea turtle), 1082 nucleotides. RefSeq lists it as uncharacterized. The record is from RefSeq and is a predicted model, not a curated record. The transcript has 3 exons. NCBI's taxonomy places the organism in Eukaryota, Metazoa, Chordata, Testudines, Dermochelyidae.
CAGGCUUUAUUUAGGCUUAUGGAAUUUCCCUAGGAGGAGCAGCAGCAGCAGGUCGCAGCAGCAGGAAUCAUGAGGCCCUUGGGAUUUGAAGCUUGGAUUGAAUUGACCAUCUGCAGUUCUAAGGUCAGCCUAGCCCUCAAAUUGUGUCUGGAACUGAAAAUUUUGAGAAGAUUGGUCAUGAAGAGAGAAAAAAGAAUGGAGGACUCACAGUAGUAAAGGGAAAAUUUAUUCCCAAUACAUCAUGUAAAGACAACUGACGUGUGGAUCUGCAUGACACUGUCGGGGAUUCCAAGUUACUCCAUCCAAAGCGUGAAGUAAUUCCUCUAUACAUCAGUAGAUUUAUAGUGACAAUAAUCCACCUCAAAUUUGUCACUCUCAUUUUCCUGUCAUUUGGAAAUUCUCCCGUUUUCUUUUCUUUGUGACAAGUUUCCUUUUCAAAUUUCUCCUUUUGAAUGUCACACUGCCAUCUAUAAUCAUCGUGGAUUCUGCAAGUCUUACUCAGUUUUGUUUACUGUGGUAUGCUGGCAAGGUAGUGUGCAUAUAUACUAUUGGAUGUUGGACUUUUUUUGUUGUAUGUGAUCCUGUCUCCUUUUGGUGGCCAAGAACUAAGAAGAUAAGUGCCUAUACAGCUGCAAGUAACUAUUUUAUUUCCGUUGAAGUGGAAGAGGCCUGUGAUGUUAAAGCAAAUGUGCCUUUGUUCAAUCAUGUGUACAGCGUAGCUGGUGAUGGGGGUGUCUUGUAUUUAUACAGCCAUGGGAUCAUCACACUAUCUAGUCGGAAGAAAUUACUAUGUAUCCUCUCAGAAGAUUUCUUGAGUUUGUAAAAAAACAAACAAACAAAACCCCAACCUCUAACUAUUUGAGAAUUGUAAAUUCUGGAAUGUGGUAAAAACCCCAUGCAGGACAUUGUGUUGGUAUUCGAUUAGGUGGCACUGUUUCAUCUGAGCUAAUAUUGAACCAGUGUCCUAGCAGCAUGCUGCAGGACAUUUUUCUGCUGAAGCUAAAAUAUCUUAAGUAAGACAUGUGCUUAUUAAAAUAUUACCUGAUACAAUAUUGCAAAACUAUAGCAGUGGUGUGAACAAU